UAUAUGCCAUUUAGCAGCUGCUUUUAUCCAAAGCGACUUACAGUCAUGCAUGUCAUGCAUGGGUGGUCCUGGGAAUCGAAACCACUCUUCUGGCAUUACAAGCAGCAUGCUCUACUAACUACACAGGACCACUUUCAUUAGUGAUGAGAUCUCUUGUUUAUAAUUAUACAAUUACUAAUUGAUGGACAAUUUCCGAUCUUCAUUGUUCAGAUCAUUUUGGAUGUUUUGCUCAACCCUAAAUGUAAUAGUUCAACUCCAGUAUACUCAGUUAGUUGAGAGGUGUGAUUUAGUUUCAAGCUCUGGGUAUAGUACUGUGUCAUGUGUAAUAAAUCCACACAGUCACCAAGGAGACUAGUGUUUCCACACAUGUUUAAUGUUGGCUCUGAAUAAAAAAACAUCUUCUGCCUGUGACAAGAGAAAAGAAGGGAUCAACAUCAUCCUUUUCAUCCAUAAUCCACACAUGAACACUUGAAAUAAUACAAUGGAUGUGAUAAUGUACUCCUUUGUAAGCCUCUGUGCUCAGCUUUGCUUUAAAUUUCAUUUAUAAAUUUAGUAGGAGUUGUCUUAUAUUCUUUAACAUUAGAAACUGCAUCAAUAUUCUCUAAGUAUAGGUUUCUCAGAGACCUCUAAGUCAUCAUGCUCCAAUAAAGUUAUUAGGUCAAUAUCGACCUGUAUACACUGAACCAUCAAGUGGUGAGGAUAUAUUUGGACAUGUGUGUUGGGUCUGCAUCUGAAAUAGCACCACAUUCCCUAUGGGUCCUGGUCAAAGGGAGUGCACUAUACAGGGUAUAGGGUGCCAUUUCCGAUGCAGCCUAGGUGUAACAGCAGAUCUGUAAUGUGUUCGUGUCCGGCAUAGCGGCCCUUGGCCAUGAGCUUGUUGACCUGGGUCUCAGUAAUGUCACAACGCUCCUCUACCUCAUCCAGCUUAUGCUGCACCUUCCUGAACUUAGACAUGUGGGAGUUGGAUGGUUCCUCCUUGGAGGGGGAGAAAGUGAGAGGGAGAGAGGAAGAGGAUACAAGAACAGGUAAGGAGGGAGAAAACCAGAUAAGAACAAUGUAAUGAUUCUCCUUAUACAGUGAGUAUUUGACUGCAAGUCUACUGUGACUCAAUGGUUCCUCAGCCUGCCUCCUGUAGGUCUUCACUUUCAACUUCAACUUGUCCACCAGGUCCUGCAGUCUGCUGACGAUUUUCUUGUCUUUCGCAGUCUGUGUGAGAUAAUAGUCAAAGCUCACAAGUCAUGUGUGUAUGUUUGUGUGAGUGUGUGUGUGAGUGAGAGUGUGUGCAGGUGUUUCUCUUACCUUGUAGGUGAGCUCCUUGACUCUGUGCUCAUACUUGCAGACUCUCUUGACAGCAUCCACACCUCCUCUCUGCUCGGUCUCCACCUCAGUCUCAAAAUCACCCACCUGUAGCACAGGGGACAUGGACACAAUGUUUGAGAAGAAGGGAGUCCUCUCAGAUGUUUGCCUGGGGUUGUAGACUACCAUACAAGCCACAUUAUGAGGAUUCACAUCAGUGAUAUGCUUCUUGGUCUUCUCCUCUGCGUUCCUGGCCUCCUGGAUGAUGUCGUCCACCUCACCUUGCACUGUCACCAGGUUGGCGGACUAGGCGUUGGCCCUCUGCACAUCAAUCAUGAGGUCCUCCACCUCUCCCUGCAGCCUCUGCUUGGUCUUCCCCAGAGAGGCCCACUUUGAGUUCACUGCCUCAACAGUUUCCUCAGCCUCCUGCAGACGAUUAUGGUGGUUGAGUGCGCUGCGGCGGAAGCGUUCACAAAAGAUUUGCGCUACGGAGGAGCAUGCAUGGUUGCCAUGAAGACCAAUGAAGAAUUUCAACAUAACAAAAUGCAAUGCAAGGAUGUUCAGAAGCAAAACACAUUAUGCAUACUUAUUAAACUACAUCUAACUGUUUGUUGAGUGUUAGGCCUAUGGAAAGUGUUACAUUUUGACAACGUGGAAAGUGUUCCUGUCUGAAAGUGAAUAUGUAAGCUGCUUCUCCCACUAACGUGCUGAUGCAUAUUGUUACUGGAGAUACUAUUGAUGACAAUCUACAGUGUAUUAACUGGUAUGCUCCUACUAAUCUGCUAAGACAUUAAGAGAUACUUGUUCCCCAAAAAAAUCCAUCAUCAUCUGUUUAAAGUGUUCCUUAUACUGUAAAUUGUACAGUAGGCCUACGGUGCUGCACUGCAUUGGCGUCUUCUUCAUUAUUGUGUGAUUGCAAAUUUCACUUAGAUACUGGAGGAAUACAAUGAUUUCAUAAACAUUCAAAUUAACAUGUUUUUGAGCUGUAAAUAUGAUACACACCAUAUCUGUCAAUAAAAAUAUUUUUUGUUUAUUCACUUAUAACAUGGGUACGAUUAGCAUAAUUGAAAUGUAACAAAAAACAAUAAAAGUUAUAGUUUGCUAUUAA
Molecule: long non-coding RNA, 2404 nt
Organism: Oncorhynchus kisutch (coho salmon)
Lineage: Eukaryota; Metazoa; Chordata; Actinopteri; Salmoniformes; Salmonidae
Exons: 3
Source: RefSeq, a predicted model, not a curated record